GGGUUGUGAGGUUAAGCGACUAAGCGUACACGGUGGAUGCCCUGGCAGUCAGAGGCGAUGAAGGACGUGCUAAUCUGCGAUAAGCGUCGGUAAGGUGAUAUGAACCGUUAUAACCGGCGAUUUCCGAAUGGGGAAACCCAGUGUGAUUCGUCACACUAUCAUUAACUGAAUCCAUAGGUUAAUGAGGCGAACCGGGGGAACUGAAACAUCUAAGUACCCCGAGGAAAAGAAAUCAACCGAGAUUCCCCCAGUAGCGGCGAGCGAACGGGGAGCAGCCCAGAGCCUGAAUCAGUGUGUGUGUUAGUGGAAGCGUCUGGAAAGGCGCGCGAUACAGGGUGACAGCCCCGUACACAAAAAUGCACAUGCUGUGAGCUCGAUGAGUAGGGCGGGACACGUGGUAUCCUGUCUGAAUAUGGGGGGACCAUCCUCCAAGGCUAAAUACUCCUGACUGACCGAUAGUGAACCAGUACCGUGAGGGAAAGGCGAAAAGAACCCCGGCGAGGGGAGUGAAAAAGAACCUGAAACCGUGUACGUACAAGCAGUGGGAGCACGCUUAGGCGUGUGACUGCGUACCUUUUGUAUAAUGGGUCAGCGACUUAUAUUCUGUAGCAAGGUUAACCGAAUAGGGGAGCCGAAGGGAAACCGAGUCUUAACUGGGCGUUAAGUUGCAGGGUAUAGACCCGAAACCCGGUGAUCUAGCCAUGGGCAGGUUGAAGGUUGGGUAACACUAACUGGAGGACCGAACCGACUAAUGUUGAAAAAUUAGCGGAUGACUUGUGGCUGGGGGUGAAAGGCCAAUCAAACCGGGAGAUAGCUGGUUCUCCCCGAAAGCUAUUUAGGUAGCGCCUCGUGAACUCAUCUCCGGGGGUAGAGCACUGUUUCGGCAAGGGGGUCAUCCCGACUUACCAACCCGAUGCAAACUGCGAAUACCGGAGAAUGUUAUCACGGGAGACACACGGCGGGUGCUAACGUCCGUCGUGAAGAGGGAAACAACCCAGACCGCCAGCUAAGGUCCCAAAGUCAUGGUUAAGUGGGAAACGAUGUGGGAAGGCCCAGACAGCCAGGAUGUUGGCUUAGAAGCAGCCAUCAUUUAAAGAAAGCGUAAUAGCUCACUGGUCGAGUCGGCCUGCGCGGAAGAUGUAACGGGGCUAAACCAUGCACCGAAGCUGCGGCAGCGACGCUUAUGCGUUGUUGGGUAGGGGAGCGUUCUGUAAGCCUGUGAAGGUGUACUGUGAGGUAUGCUGGAGGUAUCAGAAGUGCGAAUGCUGACAUAAGUAACGAUAAAGCGGGUGAAAAGCCCGCUCGCCGGAAGACCAAGGGUUCCUGUCCAACGUUAAUCGGGGCAGGGUGAGUCGACCCCUAAGGCGAGGCCGAAAGGCGUAGUCGAUGGGAAACAGGUUAAUAUUCCUGUACUUGGUGUUACUGCGAAGGGGGGACGGAGAAGGCUAUGUUGGCCGGGCGACGGUUGUCCCGGUUUAAGCGUGUAGGCUGGUUUUCCAGGCAAAUCCGGAAAAUCAAGGCUGAGGCGUGAUGACGAGGCACUACGGUGCUGAAGCAACAAAUGCCCUGCUUCCAGGAAAAGCCUCUAAGCAUCAGGUAACAUCAAAUCGUACCCCAAACCGACACAGGUGGUCAGGUAGAGAAUACCAAGGCGCUUGAGAGAACUCGGGUGAAGGAACUAGGCAAAAUGGUGCCGUAACUUCGGGAGAAGGCACGCUGAUAUGUAGGUGAAGCGACUUGCUCGUGGAGCUGAAAUCAGUCGAAGAUACCAGCUGGCUGCAACUGUUUAUUAAAAACACAGCACUGUGCAAACACGAAAGUGGACGUAUACGGUGUGACGCCUGCCCGGUGCCGGAAGGUUAAUUGAUGGGGUCAGCGCAAGCGAAGCUCUUGAUCGAAGCCCCGGUAAACGGCGGCCGUAACUAUAACGGUCCUAAGGUAGCGAAAUUCCUUGUCGGGUAAGUUCCGACCUGCACGAAUGGCGUAAUGAUGGCCAGGCUGUCUCCACCCGAGACUCAGUGAAAUUGAACUCGCUGUGAAGAUGCAGUGUACCCGCGGCAAGACGGAAAGACCCCGUGAACCUUUACUAUAGCUUGACACUGAACAUUGAGCCUUGAUGUGUAGGAUAGGUGGGAGGCUUUGAAGUGUGGACGCCAGUCUGCAUGGAGCCGACCUUGAAAUACCACCCUUUAAUGUUUGAUGUUCUAACGUUGACCCGUAAUCCGGGUUGCGGACAGUGUCUGGUGGGUAGUUUGACUGGGGCGGUCUCCUCCUAAAGAGUAACGGAGGAGCACGAAGGUUGGCUAAUCCUGGUCGGACAUCAGGAGGUUAGUGCAAUGGCAUAAGCCAGCUUGACUGCGAGCGUGACGGCGCGAGCAGGUGCGAAAGCAGGUCAUAGUGAUCCGGUGGUUCUGAAUGGAAGGGCCAUCGCUCAACGGAUAAAAGGUACUCCGGGGAUAACAGGCUGAUACCGCCCAAGAGUUCAUAUCGACGGCGGUGUUUGGCACCUCGAUGUCGGCUCAUCACAUCCUGGGGCUGAAGUAGGUCCCAAGGGUAUGGCUGUUCGCCAUUUAAAGUGGUACGCGAGCUGGGUUUAGAACGUCGUGAGACAGUUCGGUCCCUAUCUGCCGUGGGCGCUGGAGAACUGAGGGGGGCUGCUCCUAGUACGAGAGGACCGGAGUGGACGCAUCACUGGUGUUCGGGUUGUCAUGCCAAUGGCACUGCCCGGUAGCUAAAUGCGGAAGAGAUAAGUGCUGAAAGCAUCUAAGCACGAAACUUGCCCCGAGAUGAGUUCUCCCUGACUCCUUGAGAGUCCUGAAGGAACGUUGAAGACGACGACGUUGAUAGGCCGGGUGUGUAAGCGCAGCGAUGCGUUGAGCUAACCGGUACUAAUGAACCGUGAGGCUUAACCUUACAACGCCGAAG
RNAcentral lists this ribosomal RNA (2925 nucleotides) under Escherichia coli. RNAcentral describes it as "23S ribosomal RNA". It matches the Rfam family "Bacterial large subunit ribosomal RNA". The record is from RNAcentral. Lineage: Bacteria; Pseudomonadati; Pseudomonadota; Gammaproteobacteria; Enterobacterales; Enterobacteriaceae.